AAAGGAAUAGACGGGGGCCCGCACAAGCAGCGGAGCAUGUGGUUUAAUUCGAAGCAACGCGAAGAACCUUACCUAGACUUGACAUCCCCUGAAUUACCUGUAAUGAGGGAAGCCCUUCGGGGCAGGGAGACAGGUGGUGCAUGGUUGUCGUCAGCUCGUGUCGUGAGAUGUUGGGUUAAGUCCCGCAACGAGCGCAACCCUUAUCAUUAGUUGCUACCAUUAAGUUGAGCACUCUAGUGAGACUGCCCGGGUUAACCGGGAGGAAGGUGGGGAUGACGUCAAAUCAUCAUGCCCCUUAUGUCUAGGGCUACACACGUGCUACAAUGGUUGGUACAAUAAGAUGCAAUACCGCGAGGUGGAGCUAAACUUAUAAAACCAAUCCCAGUUCGGAUUGUAGGCUGAAACUCGCCUACAUGAAGCCGGAGUUGCUAGUAAUCGCGAAUCAGCAUGUCGCGGUGAAUACGUUCCCGGGCCUUGUACACACCGCCCGU
This 491-nucleotide ribosomal RNA is filed under the name uncultured bacterium. RNAcentral describes it as "bacterial SSU rRNA". It matches the Rfam family "Bacterial small subunit ribosomal RNA", at positions 903 to 1397 of the family's 1533-position model. The record is from RNAcentral.